GUGAGUCCCAGAGGCGCAGCCCGCCCGGCCCUUAUCCCUCCUCCCGCGCCCCCGCGCUCCCUUGCCGGGGGUUCUAGGCCGGGCGAGGGGCGGGGGCGAGGACGCUGUCCUGCGCGGACACCGACUGUGCGCUAGAGUCUGCCGAGGGGCGGGGGUGGUCUGGGGGCUCCGGAGGUGCUCACUGUUCCGGGGGUAAGUUCUCACGGGCUGCUCGCUCCGUGCCAGGCUCUGCAGUACAGGUAUCCGGUGUCCCGGGAGCCCGGAGGCGGAGGAUUAACGCUGGGGGCGGGGGCGACGUGGGAGACGCCUGGUGGAGGGCUCGAGCGUCCGGCAUUCCUCCCUUCCAGGUGCGGGGGGGGGCCUUGAGGAAGGCGCGGAGGUGAGCGGCGAAAGUGGAGGAACCAAUUCUGAAGUCCAUGAGGAAAAUAAAGGUUCAAGAAUAAAGAACCCAAAAAGACUUGAACGGACAUGUCUCCAAAGAAAAUGCACCAGUGACCAACAAACAGCACAUGGAAAGAUGCUCAGCAUCGUUUGUCACGGGGAAAUGCAAAUCACACCCUCGGUGAGGUAACACCUCACACCCACUGGGAUGGCUACUAUCAAAAAAAAUCCAAAAAAAGAAAAUAAUGAGGAUGUGAUGCUUGGAGCUGCAGCAGCCAUCAGACAACCAAGAGGAGAAGACCAGGAACAGAGCAGAGAGACCAGUCCAGAUUCCUGCCAUUGCUGACCUGGACCCAGCGCCGAUAAACGCCUUUCUCUUAUUCAGUCAAACAGGCAAAAAGCCCUCACUGUCGUUUAAGCUCCUUUGGGUUGAAUGUUCUGUUACUUGCAGUCCAAACAUCUGUGUAUCAUAGUGUGUUUAGAUCAGCUUUCUCCAGACUGUUGUUUAGAAUAUUAGUGGUAAAUGUUUCUGUAAAAGAAAAGUCAAUUUUAGUGAUAUAUGUAUAUAUUUUUAAAAAUAAAAAUGUGUUAUCCCUGCCCCGCCCCGCCCCGGGCGUGACCUCUGGGCACUGAGCCUCUGUUUCUGGCGACCGCCACGAUGCGGUCUCUUCUCUUUAGGGAGGGGGAAGUUGGGAAGAAACUCCUUGAGGGCUUCUCCAGGAUGACCCGUGAGCCAGGAUACCUGCAGAACGGGCUGGGACCGAGCUCUCGAGAACCUCCCUGUGACGUCCGUCCAUUCCAUCAGCCCUACGUACGCACUGCGCAGCCCGGAGCGUGGCCGUGGGAGGACGGGCAAAGAAAGGCACUCCCAUCAGGGAGAUGUCUGGAGCACCGGCCCCUCUGACAGCGAGUUGGGGACAUCCCACGGAUCAUGGAUGCAGCUGUGGAUGGAGGCACCGAGAACACAGCCAGGAAGAGGGGCAGCCUCCCCACCCCGUCAUUUGGUGGACUUGUGUGGCAGUUCUCUGCGUCGUGUGUUAAUCCUGGCAUGGGCGGCAUGCACACCGACAGUGGGCAGGAACGGGGUGAUGGUGGUGAUCGCUGCCACUGUAUUAGCAGAAGUGACCGUCCCGAAGCUCUUCUCCCGGGGCCUUUCUCACCCACCCCUGCCCAGACUGAGACCUGCCCGCGGGUCUCCGAGGGCUCUCUCAGGAAGCAAGCAGACUCCCGACAGGUCGGGGUGCCUGAGUGAUGGCGGCACUUGUCCAGUGGGUGGCCUUCCUCGUGGUCACUUGGAUUCUCCUCCUGCCUGGGAAGCGGGACCGUGCAAAGCCAGCCCUGGCACUGUGGGGACGACUUGGCUCACACAUGAGUCACCGGAGGAAAGCCGGGCCUGGAGACGAGGUCCCCCCAGUGAAAGUUGACGCUGUGACACCCGUGGGUGACUUUGUCGAAUGGCUAGUGAAAAACUGACUCAUUUGCUGCCCACAGAUGUGGCACCGUGUGCACAUACGUGUGGUCACCUGCUGGGGCCGUGGGGUGAUGUUCUGGUCCCUUCUGUAGUCAGCAAGCCGGCAGUGGAGCUUCGAAUGAAGACUGGCGGGAGAGUCCCCCGGCCCUGGGAACUGAAGGCUUCCGCAUUCGUCAAAAGACCACUUUUUGUGAAGCAAAGUGCCUUUCGAUUUUGAGUCACAGAAUGGAAGUUUUUGUUUCAUGUCUCGGAUUGAUUUUGUAUUUUUUGACACUUCACACUUAUUUCCUUUGUGUGUUUUAACUCAUGCACA
Molecule: long non-coding RNA, 2165 nt
Filed under: Equus caballus (horse)
Lineage: Eukaryota; Metazoa; Chordata; Mammalia; Perissodactyla; Equidae
Description: lncRNA (ENSECAG00000051410.1)
Source: RNAcentral